RNAcentral lists this ribosomal RNA (466 nucleotides) under uncultured bacterium. Its description in RNAcentral is "partial 16S ribosomal RNA". It matches the Rfam family "Bacterial small subunit ribosomal RNA", at positions 29 to 507 of the family's 1533-position model. The record is from RNAcentral.
ACGCACGCUGGCGGCGUGCUUAACACCUGCAAGUCGCACGGAAAGGCCUCUUUCGGGGGGUACUCGAGUGGCGAACGGGUGAGUAACACGUGAGUAACCUGCCCUUGACUUUGGGAUAACUUCAGGAAACUGGGGCUAAUACCGGAUAGGAGCUCCUGCUGCAUGGUGGGGGUUGGAAAGUUUCGGCGGUUGGGGAUGGACUCGCGGCUUAUCAGCUUGUUGGUGGGGUAGUGGCUUACCAAGGCUUUGACGGGUAGCCGGCCUGAGAGGGUGACCGGCCACAUUGGGACUGAGAUACGGCCCAGACUCCUACGGGAGGCAGCAGUGGGGAAUAUUGCACAAUGGGUGGAAGCCUGAUGCAGCAACGCCGUGUGCGGGAUGACGGCCUUCGGGUUGUAAACCGCUUUCGCUCAUGACGAAGCUUUGUGUGACGGUAGUGGGUAAAGAAGCACCGGCUAACUACGUG